RNAcentral lists this ribosomal RNA (951 nucleotides) under Triticum aestivum (bread wheat). Its description in RNAcentral is "partial small subunit ribosomal RNA". The record is from RNAcentral. Lineage: Eukaryota; Viridiplantae; Streptophyta; Magnoliopsida; Poales; Poaceae.
AUGCUCCAUCUGUGCACCCGGGACCGGACCGGCCUUGGGAGCAAGCUGGCAGCGAAGAUAGGGCAGGAGGACUGGUGGAACAAGCUGCAUUUCUCGGGCACUUUCUGUGGCACUGAUUCGUUGUCGAUGCAGCAACUUAAGGGAUUGCUCUUCAAAAUGAUACGGCAGAAUGGGUUUGUGACGCUCCCGGGCCCUUUGAGCACAAUGACCACAAGAGGCAGCUUUAUCCUGGAGCGGAAGCAAGCGUUCAAGGGUGUUGCCAAAUGGACUGUGCUCAACGUUGAGUUGGACGAGAGCAUCGUUAUAUGGCACAUCGCAACUGAUUUGUUCAUCUGGGAAUCCAGGGCUGGCCAUGAAGUAGAGCUUAUUGAGGCUACAAGGGUGCUAUCCAAUUACAUGAUGUUCCUGCUGGUGGCAAAACCCAACAUGCUACCUGGCCGUGAACGCAACACGGUACAUCUUAGGCCCUCCAGGAUCCUGGAAACAAUAUGGCGGGUACAUAUCUUAGGUAACGAGGACAAAUCUGUGAGGGUAUCUCCCGGAAGCUGGAAUAAGUGCUGUGUAGUACUUAAGGAAUUGUUUCACCAUGAAGGCCCAAAUGGCUCCAGGAUCAAUCGGGCUCAGAGGGAGAAGCUUGCCGAGAGACUGCUUGCCAACUGGUCUUAUGAGCAGGCGCAGCAACUUGAUUCGCAUCCAGAGGUUCUUGAAGGGUCACGUGACGAGUUGUACACGUGUGCAGUCAAUCUCGCCAAACAGCUCCUCCACUUGGGUAGGCCUGACACGUUGGAACUCAUCUUCUCCGUGUGGGUGGAGAUGAUGCUUUAUGCUGCGGAUCACUGUCCCCGGGAUUCCCAUGCCAGGGAGCUCAGUAAUGGCGGCGAGUUUAUCACCAUCCUGUGGCUUCUGGAACAGCACUGGACGUACGUCUACAAACACAAAAUAGCAUGUUAG